Molecule: transfer RNA, 72 nt
Filed under: Ictidomys tridecemlineatus (thirteen-lined ground squirrel)
Lineage: Eukaryota; Metazoa; Chordata; Mammalia; Rodentia; Sciuridae
Description: Spermophilus tridecemlineatus (thirteen-lined ground squirrel) tRNA
Rfam family: tRNA
About the family: Transfer RNA (tRNA) molecules are approximately 80 nucleotides in length. Their secondary structure includes four short double-helical elements and three loops (D, anti-codon, and T loops). Further hydrogen bonds mediate the characteristic L-shaped molecular structure. tRNAs have two regions of fundamental functional importance: the anti-codon, which is responsible for specific mRNA codon recognition, and the 3' end, to which the tRNAs corresponding amino acid is attached (by aminoacyl-tRNA synthetases). tRNAs cope with the degeneracy of the genetic code in two manners: having more than one tRNA (with a specific anti-codon) for a particular amino acid; and 'wobble' base-pairing, i.e. permitting non-standard base-pairing at the 3rd anti-codon position.
Source: Rfam by way of RNAcentral
GGGAAUGUAGAUCAGUGGUAGACCACUUGCCUAGAAUGUGUGAGGCCCUGGGUUCAAUCCCUAGUACUGCCA